This 527-nucleotide unclassified non-coding RNA is filed under the name Hevea brasiliensis (rubber tree). Lineage: Eukaryota; Viridiplantae; Streptophyta; Magnoliopsida; Malpighiales; Euphorbiaceae. The record is from RNAcentral.
CCUCCACCUGUACCAGCGGAAAAGGGCUUAAAGAAUCUUCAUCACCAAUAUCCAUGUCAUCCCUUAUGGUAUAAUAGUCAUAUACAUAAUCAUCAGCUUGCUUGGAGAUGUAAUCUCGUACAUCAGUUUCAAUCUGUGCUGCAGCACUUGGAAUAAACUCUCUAAGUAGAGGUAGGUAGGUACUAAGAAUCCUCUGAUCCUCCAAAGACAAAACUCCCUGCUCUUGCAUCUCAUUGGAUCUUUCCUCAACAUCAACACGAACAACGUCAUAAAAAUGGCACAUGUCAUGGAGUUCCUUAUCAUGUGAAGUCUCUUUGUUUCCCCUUCGGCUCCUCCAUAUUUGUUCAAAACGAGCAUUUUGAGCCAAUAUCUCUUGAUUUUGUCUGGCCUUGGACAAAAGCUGCUCUUGUUUAUUAUUCUUUCUGAAGAUAUUCUGUUUCCGUUCUUUAUUUUUUGGAAUGUCUCGAACAGCAUCAGCAGAACUAGGCACAAAUGAUUGUAAUAUAUCAAUAGUGGCUUCCUUGCUG